GCGUCCGUAGCUCAGCUGGAUAGAGUACCUGGCUACGAACCAGGAGGUCAGAGGUUCGAAUCCUCUCGGACGCGCCA
Molecule: transfer RNA, 77 nt
Filed under: Vibrio cholerae
Lineage: Bacteria; Pseudomonadati; Pseudomonadota; Gammaproteobacteria; Vibrionales; Vibrionaceae
Also listed under: 1 other name
Description: tRNA-Arg
Rfam family: tRNA
About the family: Transfer RNA (tRNA) molecules are approximately 80 nucleotides in length.
Source: RNAcentral